GAUGGCCUAAUGGCUAGAGCGUCCGCCUCGGAUGCGGAAGGUCGCUGGCUAGAACCCCAGCCAAGUCA
Molecule: non-coding RNA, 68 nt
Organism: Potamilus streckersoni
Lineage: Eukaryota; Metazoa; Mollusca; Bivalvia; Unionida; Unionidae
Source: the annotation of a GenBank genome assembly